This is a long non-coding RNA of Cuculus canorus (common cuckoo), 953 nucleotides long. RefSeq lists it as uncharacterized. The record is from RefSeq and is a predicted model, not a curated record. Lineage: Eukaryota; Metazoa; Chordata; Aves; Cuculiformes; Cuculidae. The transcript is spliced from 7 exons.
GCAUGCAGCUCCGGAGGGGCAAAGCUUUGUGAUGACAAAUGAUCUGAGAAGGUGCCCCAGGCAGUGACAGCUGCAGGGCCUGAUGUCUGGGUGAGCACGGAGCAGGCGGUGAAGAGGAACCUGGUGACUGCAGGAUUAUUUCAGUUAGCCAAUGUGAUCGAGCCUCUCUGGCCAAGGACAGCUUCAGUAUUCUGCCCUUUGAAAGAUGGAGAGGGACAAUGUGUGUGCCAAAGUCUGCUGAUGGAGUUGCGGGUAGAGUUACAUAGGGAGAGUCCGUUAUCUUCGAUCUCCCUCAUGGACCUAAUUUUGCAGAAGUGCAACACUAGUUUUGUCUCUCUUGUUACCUGACGUGCCCCAGGUGACGACAGUUGAAGCAUCUGACAUUUUGAGUGAGCACGGAGCAGAUCAUGAAGAUGCAGUUGGAGACGGUAGAAUCAUUCCAGUUAGGCGAUGGGCAGCUUGCGACUGUUGGUGCUCUGAAAGCUUAGUUGAGGGACCACGGUUGUGCAGGAAGAGUUCCCUUUCAACAGGUCUGUGUGUCUUCUUCACGCUCAAGACACACAGCAUGUGCCUUGGGCGCUAUUGCUGCGGUUCUGAAGGCUUCCGCUCAUCCUGUUGGCUUCAUGCCAUCGCUCCAGCUUGUUCAGAUCCCUCUGUACAGCCUCCCUACCCUCCCAGGUGGAUCGACACUUCCUCCUAAUUUAGGGGACAUCCAGAAUUUGCUAAGGGUACAGUCAACCUCCUCAUCCAAGUUGUUGAUGAAGAUAUUGAAUUGCACUGGAGGUGAGCACGGAGCCAUGGGGAACGCUAUCUCAAGGAGCAUACUGUAAGAUACUAUGUCAAAGGCUUUACUAAGUCCAAAUAUACCCUAACCACAAGUUUUCCCUCAUGCAACAAGCAGGUCUCGUUGUCACAGAAGGCGAUCGGGUUAGUUUGGCAGGACCGGACGUAAA